Molecule: ribosomal RNA, 380 nt
Filed under: uncultured eukaryote
Lineage: Eukaryota
Description: partial 18S ribosomal RNA
Rfam family: Eukaryotic small subunit ribosomal RNA
Source: RNAcentral
CAAUAGCGUAUAUUAAAGUUGUUGCGGUUAAAAAGCUCGUAGUUGGAUUUCUGCCGAGGACGACCGGUCCGCCCUCUGGGUGUGUAUCUGGUUUGGCCUGGGCAUCUUCUUGGAGAACGUAGCUGCACUUGACUGUGUGGUGCGGUGUCCAGGACUUUUACUUUGAGGAGAUUAGAGUGUUUCAAGCAGGCACACGCCUUGAAUACAUUAGCAUGGAAUAAUAAGAUAGGACCUCGGUUCUAUUUUGUUGGUUUCUAGAGCUGAGGUAAUGAUUAAUAGGGAUAGUUGGGGGCAUUCGUAUUUAACUGUCAGAGGUGAAAUUCUUGGAUUUGUUAAAGACGGACUACUGCGAAGGCAUUUGCCGAGGAUGUUUUCAUUGA